This 610-nucleotide long non-coding RNA is filed under the name Brassica napus (rape). Its description in RNAcentral is "long non-coding RNA (BNAP_LNC004293)". The record is from RNAcentral. Lineage: Eukaryota; Viridiplantae; Streptophyta; Magnoliopsida; Brassicales; Brassicaceae.
ACUUUCCUGUAAAAGAAUAAUCACAUGAUUAAAAAAAAAGAGAAGAAGAUGAUGAUAGGAUAUUUAUAGUUUCCAGGUUGUGUUCUGAUAUGGACGAGAUAACGCAUCCUAAUCUGUCUCAGAUCAUAAACAAUGUACUCGGUGUGCUCUGUAAGCAAAAUGAAACAAUUUUAUUGGCGUAAAGGUAAAAACAAAACCUGAAUUAUAAUUAUGAAAACAAACAAAAGAAAACCUUACAAUCCAUCUGAUACACGGGACAUCCAAGUGGAACAACAACACCAUCAUCCAAGCGGAACAACAACACCGUUAAUGUAAACACAUGAAUUAAUAAUAAUAAUGUAACCACAAAAGAAGGUAUAGAAGGAUGUGUACAGCGAAAAAAAAAGUUAGAAGGAUGUAACCGCAAACAGAUGCUGACAGAAUCAAUAUGUAAAACACCUUACCCGCUUAGUUCUUCAAGUCUAGCUUGUGUUUCCUCGUUUAUAAUCUUGUUUUGCUGUCCUUCAAUCACUUUUGAUAUUCUCUUCAGUAUUUCAUAACCCUAUUUCAAGAGGAGCAGUUAAUCAUCCGAUUUUUGUUUUAUGUAGUAAUUUAUCUUCAAGAGGGCCGG